Molecule: long non-coding RNA, 1231 nt
Organism: Gallus gallus (chicken)
Lineage: Eukaryota; Metazoa; Chordata; Aves; Galliformes; Phasianidae
Source: Ensembl
CUCAGUUCCUGUCAACGGUUUACAGGCUGGUUUGGCAGUUCCAGACAAAAAACUUGAAUUUUCUGAGAGUCUACAUGAAAUUCUACUGUCCUUGAAACCAGGUUGAAUUCCGUCUUUGAGCUGCCAGAGAACAUUCCACGCUUUCACCUUCGGGAGAUUUCAGAGCUAAGAUUCUUUGAGAUUUCUGCAUUUGAAAGAGGCCAUAAAAGAAAAAAAGAUACAGAUGCUUUUCAAGUAUAUGGACGUCAAAUGGAUCUGAAGACACUAAAGAUGGCAUAUCAUUGGAUGGAUACCACUGGCUUUCAACAUAGAAAUCUAAAUAUAGAAAGGAUUAAACAAUCACUUAUAAUUUCACUAAAAUAAGUGCCAAGAUUCCUAUAGUUUCUAAUGGGGGCAGGAGCUGACCUCCUCCUUAGCUGUCCUCAGUUAAACAAUACAGAAACAUAAUGACUUCAGUGAGAGACCUGGGUAAUGAGCAUAUAUCCCCAUCAUCAGCUCUGUGUUGCCCCAUUCUUCUCCCCUGCCUUUCCCUGGCCUUCAUUACUUGCUGAAGCUUGAAGUGAUGCACUUCUUCAGCAUCAGCUUUCCAAAUGGCUGCCUCAAUCAUAUGAAGGAUUCCUUCCUUAUGGAUGAUCUCCACAGGACUUAAACUAAGAGCCUAUGGUCAUUUUUAUAAAUCACUAUGCAAGUGUCCAUAACUAUGCAGUGCUUCACAAAAUUCUCUGGGUGUUUACCUCAUAUAGGUUACAGCUGAUUUUAAAUAUUAGUUGAUUCGGGGACUGGUAGAGUCUAGCAUAUAAAAGUAACUGUUGAGUCAGAAAGUAUGUAUUAGAGAAGUGAUCUGAUCUUCUCAGGUCUACAGAGGAUGAAGGAAUAAGAUACUCUGGGGUGGGAUGGUAAGUGUGGUGUACCAUUUUUUUAUAGGUAAAAUUGUCUGGGAAGCAUUGGAUUUGCUAUAUAUUCAUGGCUGCUUUCUCUACCAUUCCUUUGUUUAUAUCUUCUUUGCUCUAGGCUAAAUGCAGCUCAUGAUAUGGAUCUUCCUUCCCUGUAUCUGAGAUAGCAUUACAGAUACACAGGUCCAUCCAGAGACAAGCAGAUAAAAAGGAGCAUGUGCACUUUCAUGAGCAGCCUUCAUGUAAAUUGCUUCCUUUUCUUUUGGUUGCUGCUAACUGCCUCCAGCACUGAUUAAUCUGAUUACUCAUAGCAGCUCGAUGUUACUUUUUGUGUGGCA